RNAcentral lists this ribosomal RNA (809 nucleotides) under uncultured bacterium. Its description in RNAcentral is "bacterial SSU rRNA". It matches the Rfam family "Bacterial small subunit ribosomal RNA", at positions 575 to 1375 of the family's 1533-position model. The record is from RNAcentral.
GCGGCUUGUCGCGUCGGAUGUGAAAGCCCGGGGCUUAACCCUGGGUCUGCAUUCGAUACGGGCAGGCUGGAGUUCGGUAGGGGAGAUCGGAAUUCCUGGUGUAGCGGUGAAAUGCGCAGAUAUCAGGAGGAACACCGGUGGCGAAGGCGGAUCUCUGGGCCGAUACUGACGCUGAGGAGCGAAAGCAUGGGGAGCGAACAGGAUUAGAUACCCUGGUAGUCCAUGCCGUAAACGUUGGGCACUAGGUGUGGGCGACAUUCCACGUUGUCCGUGCCGCAGCUAACGCAUUAAGUGCCCCGCCUGGGGAGUACGGCCGCAAGGCUAAAACUCAAAGGAAUUGACGGGGGCCCGCACAAGCGGCGGAGCAUGUGGCUUAAUUCGACGCAACGCGAAGAACCUUACCAAGGCUUGACAUACACCAGAUCGCCGCAGAGACGCGGUUUCCCUUGUGGCUGGUGUACAGGUGGUGCAUGGCUGUCGUCAGCUCGUGUCGUGAGAUGUCGGGUUAAGUCCCGCAACGAGCGCAACCCUUGUCUCGUGUUGCCAGCAGGCCCUUGUGGUGCUGGGGACUCACGGGAGACUGCCGGGGUCAACUCGGAGGAAGGUGGGGACGACGUCAAGUCAUCAUGCCCCUUAUGUCUUGGGCUGCACACGUGCUACAAUGGCCGGUACAAUGAGUGGCGAUGCCGUGAGGUGGAGCGAAUCUCAAAAAGCCGGUCUCAGUUCGGAUUGGGGUCCGCAACUCGACCCCAUGAAGUCGGAGUCUGCUAGUAAUCGCAGAUCAGCAUUGCUGCGGUGGGUACGUUCCC